Neoarius graeffei (lesser salmon catfish) is the source of this 2406-nucleotide long non-coding RNA. RefSeq lists it as uncharacterized. NCBI's taxonomy places the organism in Eukaryota, Metazoa, Chordata, Actinopteri, Siluriformes, Ariidae. The record is from RefSeq and is a predicted model, not a curated record. The transcript is spliced from 3 exons.
GGAAACACAAGCAGUCCUGUGACACAGCCUGUAAUGUCGGCUGGUGUAAUGGGCAGAACUGCCUUUUGUUCUUUUUAAACCUUUUUGAUACUUUUAUCCUCUGCAACACAUAAUAAAUGUUUUUCUCUGUCCAAGGGCAUCAGGGACUCAUGGGCAGCGUGACCUUACUCUAUAUUUACAUCAUGUGGCUGAUCACUUCAGUUGGUAAAUGGACAGAUAAUUCCUCAUAAUUGCCACAGAGAUGCUAAAAUUCAUCUAGAUGUUUAAUUUUUUGCAGGUUCUCAGGUCAUAUCUGCCCAAGUGGGUUCCACAGCUGUCCUGCCCUGUGAACUGAGCAACAUGUCCAAGCCGACAGUAUAUGUUCAGUGGCGCACUGAUUCCACUGUUGUGUUUGAAAGAACGAGAAGAGGUUCAUACCAGGGUGAACGAUAUAAAGGCCGUGUGGACGUUCCUGUGAAGCUGUUGCUUCAGGGGAAUUGUUCCUUGGUGCUGAAGAAUGUGUGGGUUAAUGAUGUUGGAGUUUACUACAGCUACCAGUUUGUGAAAAGCAGAAAGAAGUCUUUUAGUCAUUUCAUCCAGAGAGUCGAACUUGAAGUUUAUGGUAAGUGUUUUAAUUUUCAUUUUGGCACAUGGUUUAUUUAUUUAUUUAAACAGCUGGCUUAAAAAUAAUGAAUUUUGGUGAAUUUAGAAACCUAGCAUGAGCUGUUUUAACAAAGCUAUAAUAGAAAUUAAAUCUACACCUGCGAUGUGCAGCUGCACUACAGUCAGAACUGCUGUUAUAGGAAAUUCAUCAACACCUUCUGAACAAUCAGAGGUUCAAAAGCACUGUGGUAUAAAUUAAGAUACAUGUCUUUAGCUAUGAUAGCAUUUCCUUUUGUAGUAUGUAUUUUAUUGCACUUGUCUUGCAGGAAUUUCUGUAACUCCACAUUCCACUGUCAUGCAAUUCAUUAUUCAAAUUCCAAUUUUCUUAGUCUCACACACACACACACACACAUCUGCAAUACAACAUGCAGUGAAAUGUUUUUUACAAAAUGUCCAGUGACAUUAAAAAACAGAAUUUACAUAAAACAGAAUUUACUGUAUGAGCACAGAAGUAGAAAACAUUAUAACAAUAUGAUAAAGGAUAUAAAAGAGAGAUUGUAGAAAUAUUAACAGGAAUGGAGCGGGUGUAGGUCCAGGGUUGAGUCCGAGGUGUUGACCUGGUUUAGAGCCCGAAUGGACUGUGGAAGGAAGCUCCUCAUAUAUCUGUGUUGGCCUUCAUCGUUCUGAUGCCUGAGGUGCUUCACAAUCUUCCCGGCUUUGGUUCAGCAUCACCUGCUAUAGACAGACUGCGGGUCAGGGAGCUCAGUGUGGAUGGUGUGCUCGGCUGAUCAUACCACCCACUGGAGAGCCGCCUGUCCUGGUUAGUGCUCUUCCCAAACCAGGCUGUGAUGCUUCCCAUCAGGAUGCUGUCAGUGGUGCAGGAGUAGAAGCUCUUUAACACCUUACUGAGCAGUUUCAAGUCCCUUGUGGUAAAGACAUUGAUGGGUGUGAGAUGGACAAGGGUUCUUAACCAAUAAGAAGCCAGAGAGAGGAAGUCAUCGUGGGUGGAGCAAAAACAAUACAGAACAGAUCAGGACUGGGAUGAGGAAACUCUGGACAUGUACAUGCUUCUGAUCAAGAGUUAUAUUAUGGAGUAAUUUAGAAGAAGAAGAAGAAGAAUAAACCUUUAUUUGUCACAUGCACACUUCAAGCACAGUGAAAUUCAUCCUCUGCAUUUAACCCAUCUGAAGUAGUGAACACACGCACACACACCCAGAGCAGUGGGCAGCCAUACUACAGCGCCUGAGGAGCAGUCAGGGGUUAGGUACCUUGCUCAAGGGCACUUCAGCGCAAGGCCGCCCCACGUUAACCUAACUGCAUGUCUUUGGAACAACAUGAAUUGUUGGAAAAUGUACCAAAAUGCUCAUUUCUUUCCUUCUUUUUCUUGUUCCCUUCAUCAUCAUAAAUACCUGAAGAUAUCGAUGCUGGAAUGACCUACUCUCAGAUAAUCCUGGUUGUUUCUUUCAUUUUAUCUUUACUGUAUUUUCUGUUCUACAUUGUAAAGACCAAACUAAGAAGUGAAAAUAUUAAGAUAUUAUGAAUUCUGAGUUUUUGUCGCAACUGCAGUUAUCGUGGUUAAGAUUCUCUUUUGGCCAGUUUUAUUUAUUCACCUAAGCUUGAAUUCCUUCUCCAGACAAAUCUGGUUAAAAUACAAUACAAAUUCAGCUAAAAAUUACUUUUAGUCAGGCAGAUCAGGAGAAUUUGGUCUGUAUGAUACAAUAUUUUGAAGGAAGUGAGAAAAAUUCAUCAUGCAACAGCUGUACUGAUGUAAUUAAAGGUUUUAUAAUUUAUUGUAAAUAUUGCUUUCUUAUUUAUUUUUUUAAC